RNAcentral lists this ribosomal RNA (450 nucleotides) under uncultured bacterium. RNAcentral's name for it is "partial 16S ribosomal RNA". It matches the Rfam family "Bacterial small subunit ribosomal RNA", at positions 354 to 796 of the family's 1533-position model. The record is from RNAcentral.
GUGGGGAAUAUUGGACAAUGGGCGAAAGCCUGAUCCAGCCAUGCCGCGUGUGUGAAGAAGGUCUUCGGAUUGUAAAGCACUUUAAGUUGGGAGGAAGGGCAGUAAGUUAAUACCUUGCUGUUUUGACGUUACCGACAGAAUAAGCACCGGCUAACUUCGUGCCAGCAGCCGCGGUAAUACGAAGGGUGCAAGCGUUAAUCGGAAUUACUGGGCGUAAAGCGUGCGUAGGUGGUUUUGUAAGUUGGAGGUGAAAUCCCCGGGCUCAACCUGGGAACUGCCUCCAAAACUGCAUGACUAGAGUACGGUAGAGGGUAGUGGAAUUUCCUGUGUAGCGGUGAAAUGCGUAGAUAUAGGAAGGAACACCAGUGGCGAAGGCGACUACCUGGACUGAUACUGACACUGAGGUGCGAAAGCGUGGGGAGCAAACAGGAUUAGAAACCCUUGUAGUCC